CCUGAGAAACCUAAAAGUUCGAAAAGAGAGAUUCAACGCUUGCAUGUACAGUAUUCACGUGAGUAGUGAUGAGAGUUAUAUUGGUUGAGUCAAAUCUAUCAAUAAAUACUUUCACAUUUUCAUGUUAUUUUAUUGCUGUACUAUUGUCGGCGUGCACUUCUCUCUUAGUAGGACGUCCCGACCCGUUGAGUCUUAGCCUACGGCCCAAAAGAUUGUCUUUAAUAUGAUUCAUAUUAAAAAUCUUUGGUGUUCUCCUGGCCUAAGUGCUCGACGGUAAUAACAAAACGAUUCGGUAUUAAGCCGCAAAUUUUAUUUGCGUCCGGCCUGUCGCAAGUUUAUUGACAAAUUCUGUAUUGGCAUAGACUUUGUGCUUGCUAUAUGGUUUUGUUGGCUGUUUGCAUGACUGUGCUUUUGGACCGGCUUAUCAUAUAUACCAGUCAGGGACGCUUAGGCUUUGGGUACUCUCAGGACCCGUCUUGAAACACGGACCAAGGAGUCUAACAUGUACGCGAGUCAUUGGGUAUAUAUUUUCUUUCGGGAAUUUAUAUAAAACAAACCUAAAGGCGAAAUAAAAGUAAAGGUCAAA
Molecule: ribosomal RNA, 586 nt
Filed under: Disophrys strigata
Lineage: Eukaryota; Metazoa; Arthropoda; Insecta; Hymenoptera; Braconidae
Description: eukaryotic LSU rRNA
Rfam family: Eukaryotic large subunit ribosomal RNA
Source: RNAcentral